Molecule: ribosomal RNA, 253 nt
Filed under: uncultured bacterium
Lineage: Bacteria
Description: partial 16S ribosomal RNA
Rfam family: Bacterial small subunit ribosomal RNA
Source: RNAcentral
UACGGAGGGGGCUAGCGUUGUUCGGAAUUACUGGGCGUGAAGCGCACGUAGGCGGCUUAUUAAGUCAGCGGUGAAAGACCAGGGCUCAACCCUGGAACUGCCAUUGAUACUGAUAAGCUUGAGUAAAGUUGAGGUAGGCGGAAUUGACGGUGUAGCGGUGAAAUGCUUAGAUAUCGUCAAGAACACCGAUUGCGUAGGCAGCUUACUAAGCUUUAACUGACGCUGAGGCACGAAAGUGUGGGGAUCAAACAGG